AAAAAAAAAAAAAAAAGAGUUUUUACUUGAUAGAGACAAAGCAUACAUGAAUAGCUGAAUCAUCUCUGAUCCAUUCAAUCAACAGAUUCAACACAGCUAAGCAAUUUCAUUUGAAAAACAAAAUCCAAAUCAGAUCUCCAACAGUAAACCACAAAAAAGUCUGCAGUUCCACACAAACAAUACCAAUUCAGAGAUUGAACGACAGAGAUCAGAUCUUACCU
RNAcentral lists this unclassified non-coding RNA (221 nucleotides) under Hevea brasiliensis (rubber tree). Lineage: Eukaryota; Viridiplantae; Streptophyta; Magnoliopsida; Malpighiales; Euphorbiaceae. The record is from RNAcentral.